AGAGUUUGAUCCUGGCUCAGAUUGAACGCUGGCGGCAUGCUUUACACAUGCAAGUCGAACGGCAGCACGGGUGCUUGCACCUGGUGGCGAGUGGCGAACGGGUGAGUAAUGCACCGGAACGUACCCAGUAAUGGGGGAUAACACAUCGAAAGAUGUGCUAAUCCCGCAUACGCCCUGAGGGGGAAAGCGGGGGAUCGUAAGACCUCGCGUUAUUGGAGCGGCCGAUGCCGGAUUAGCUAGUUGGUGAGGUAAGAGCUCACCAAGGCGACGAUCCGUAGCUGGUCUGAGAGGACGACCAGCCACACUGGGACUGAGACACGGCCCAGACUCCUACGGGAGGCAGCAGUGGGGAAUUUUGGACAAUGGGCGCAAGCCUGAUCCAGCCAUGCCGCGUGAGUGAAGAAGGCCUUCGGGUUGUAAAGCUCUUUCGCAAGGAAAGAAAACUUAUCUACUAA
Molecule: ribosomal RNA, 455 nt
Filed under: uncultured bacterium
Lineage: Bacteria
Description: bacterial SSU rRNA
Rfam family: Bacterial small subunit ribosomal RNA
Source: RNAcentral